RNAcentral lists this ribosomal RNA (472 nucleotides) under uncultured organism. RNAcentral's name for it is "partial 16S ribosomal RNA". It matches the Rfam family "Bacterial small subunit ribosomal RNA", at positions 334 to 797 of the family's 1533-position model. The record is from RNAcentral.
CACUCCUGCGGGAGGCAGCAGUGGGGAAUAUCGCACAAUGGGCGCAAGCCUGAUGCAGCCAUGCCGCGUGUAUGAAGAAGGCCUUCGGGUUGUAAAGUACUUUCAGCGGGGAGGAAGGCGAUAAGGUUAAUAACCUUGUCGAUUGACGUUACCCGCAGAAGAAGCACCGGCUAACUCCGUGCCAGCAGCCGCGGUAAUACGGAGGGUGCAAGCGUUAAUCGGAAUUACUGGGCGUAAAGCGCACGCAGGCGGUCUGUCAAGUCGGAUGUGAAAUCCCCGGGCUCAACCUGGGAACUGCAUUCGAAACUGGCAGGCUAGAGUCUUGUAGAGGGGGGUAGAAUUCCAGGUGUAGCGGUGAAAUGCGUAGAGAUCUGGAGGAAUACCGGUGGCGAAGGCGGCCCCCUGGACAAAGACUGACGCUCAGGUGCGAAAGCGUGGGGAGCAAACAGGAUUAGAAACCCCAGUAGUCCCA